CCUACGGGAGGUAGCAGUGAGGAAUAUUGGUCAAUGGGCGGGAGCCUGAACCAGCCAAGUCGCGUGAGGGAUGACGGCCCUAUGGGUUGUAAACCUCUUUUGCCGGGGAGCAAAGUGCCGCACGUGUGCGGUUUGGAGAGUACCCGGAGAAAAAGCAUCGGCUAACUCCGUGCCAGCAGCCGCGGUAAUACGGAGGAUGCGAGCGUUAUCCGGAUUUAUUGGGUUUAAAGGGUGCGUAGGCGGGAAAGCAAGUCAGAUGUGAAAACUCAGGGCUCAACCCUGAGCCUGCAUUUGAAACUGUUUUUCUUGAGUGCUGGAGAGGCAAUCGGAAUUCCGGGUGUAGCGGUGAAAUGCGUAGAUAUACGGAGGAACACCAGUGGCGAAGGCGGAUUGCUGGACAGUAACUGACGCUGAGGCGCGAAAGCGUGGGGAGCAAACAGGAUUAGAUACCCGUGUAGUC
Molecule: ribosomal RNA, 460 nt
Filed under: uncultured bacterium
Lineage: Bacteria
Description: partial 16S ribosomal RNA
Rfam family: Bacterial small subunit ribosomal RNA
Source: RNAcentral